This 497-nucleotide ribosomal RNA is filed under the name uncultured bacterium. Its description in RNAcentral is "partial 16S ribosomal RNA". It matches the Rfam family "Bacterial small subunit ribosomal RNA", at positions 28 to 507 of the family's 1533-position model. The record is from RNAcentral.
GACGAACGCUGGCGGCGUGCCUAAUACAUGCAAGUUGAGCGCUGAAGGUUGGUACUUGUACCAACUGGAUGAGCAGCGAACGGGUGAGUAACGCGUGGGGAAUCUGCCUUUGAGCGGGGGACAACAUUUGGAAACGAAUGCUAAUACCGCAUAAAAACUUUAAACACAAGUUUCAAGUUUGAAAGAUGCAAUUGCAUCACUCAAAGAUGAUCCCGCGUUGUAUUAGCUAGUUGGUGAGGUAAAGGCUCACCAAGGCGAUGAUACAUAGCCGACCUGAGAGGGUGGUCGGCCAACAUGGGAAUGAGACACGGCCCAAUCUCCUACGGGAGGCAGCAGUAGGGAAUCUUCGGCAAUGGACGAAAGUCUGACCGAGCAACGCCGCGUGAGUGAAGAAGGUUUUCGGGUCGUAAAACUCUGUUGAUAGGGAAGAAAGUUGGUGGGAAUGGAAAGCUCAUAAAGUGACGGUAACUACCCAGAAAGGGACGGCUAACUACGUG